UGCUUUCUGCUUUCCACUGUGGUCAUCCUUUUGUUGGAACAUACUCUUUUGGUCCAGGGCCUCUCUCUCAUCUAGUGUUUGUCCCAGAUUCUCUUUCAGCAAAAUAAAUGACCCAUCACUGAAGAUAAAGAAUAAAAGGUCCACUUCUCAAAGGAUAGGAAAGCACUGAUGCAAUACUUUUUCCUAAAAAUGGUAGUUCAUAAGCACCAUGUAAGCAAAAUACUGCAAUGAUCAGCAAAAGUUUAAUAUUGAAAUACAGUUUUUAUUCUUUAAUCAGCAAGGACAUAGGUACUUUCCCUUCACCUUUACUGAAACUUAAAAGUGGAAAGUGCAUCAAGGCAAUUGACUACUAAAGUGAUCAUCCUAUCUUGGGAUCUAAAGGUUCUUUUUUAAAUCCAUUUCAUUAAUCGUUUAUAUAUAAUUAACCAAAAAAAACAACAUGGCAGUAUGAACAUUACUGGAUGCUGGACUGUGGACUCUAGUUCCUGCAACAGAGUCAAAAGCAAAAGGGAAGAAGAGCACCCCCAGGGUAUGGUCGGGUUUUAAGUGCAAAGAACGAUUAAAAAACACAUGUCAGUGAAGGAAGACGAAUAUGAAGAUGAAGAAAUAAAAAUAACCACAGACAAGCCAUUAUAUGGACAAAUGAACUGAGAAAAAAAUUGCAAGUGAAACAUAAAUAAAGAAUAAAGCAUGUCAAUCCAAGUUCAAAAUCCGUUGCAAAGAUGCAAAUUUAAGUUUCUAAUUCAAUUUUAUUGACUAAUUGUCCUUGACUAAUUUUGUUCACUAAGUUUCUAACAACCUGUUUUUAAUCAUUAACAUUUUUUCCAUAACGUUUUCUUAACAAGUGAUAAAUAACUUUGCUUUAUAAUUAUUUGUUCUUUGACUCUGUCAAUGUGAGCUUGUUGAAAUUAUUGGUCCUAAGCCCAGAUAAAGAGAGGAGGGUUGCCGAAGCCCGAAGGUCAAUCGGAAACAGCUUCUAUACCACAUAAAGUUAGGGGUAAGAUUGCAUACAUCUUACCCACCCCAAACCCCACUUGUGGGAUUACAUUGGAUUUAUGUUGUUUUAUAAUUAUUGUAUAUUAUCGCCCUCUUCAAAACAAAACUUACAGGCAUUAUAAAUUACUACUUACACUUAUUAAGAAGCAAUUAGUUGGCUGUCUUUCUAGGCACAGACUUACACUUAAGCACUGCCUAAACAACGCAAAGUACUCUUUUAACAAAUUGCUACAUAAUCCAACAAGUUCUGCCGCAGCUACAUAAAUUGAUAAUCUUCUAUCUUUUAGCAAUCCAUGUGAUCCAGUUCAUUGGAUUUCCAGUCACAGUAAACCAUGAGGCAUAAAAUGAGUAGGUAUUCCAUGGCCCCAACAGUAUCAGUAAUCAAACCACAAUGUCCUUUUAUCACUUUUAAGCUGAUACGGGGGACUCAAAGUAUGCAACUGCCUGAACAAGACGCAGAAGGAAAGCAUAUUGCACUUUUACCUUUUCUGAUGUGAAGUAAUUGUCCUGCAUAUCAAGGAAUAAAAUGGAAGUGUAGGUAAGAACUUUGUGGCUAAGAAAUUUCAUCCAAGAUGGCUUGGAUGUCCACUUUUAGGUCCUUUUUGAUCAUUGAGUACUUUUAAUAUCCUAUUCUGCACUGCUAUUCGUUGGACAGAAGAACUUUUAUCCACCUCACAACUCACUAGCAAAGGAAAAGAAUACGCAUCAAUGUGUCACGGCCAAUAUUAUUCGUGCCAGAAUAAAGGACAAACAAGUCAAAUUGUUUGAGAUAUUCCUGAUCCACACAACAGAAUAUUCAAGGUGCUCUACUAUCUUAUCCCUUUUAAAUCAUGUCCAAUUACUUUUCAGGACUUCAACAAAGAUGUCUCAUUUUAAAAAGUAUCAGUUGACUGUUAAAGGACCUGGAGGCUAAUCUAAAACUUUCUACUUUUGUGGAGGUAGAGUCCUGAGAAAAAGUGAAAAGUGUAGGUUCCACGUAAGUCACCUGAGCACAGCUAAGCCUUUCAAGUUUUAGGUCCCUCAGAUUCCAAGGGAACUUUAGCUAUCUAUUUCUGCUCUGCCAUUUGCUGAGCCUUAGCACUUUUUCCACAGUUUAUAAAUGCCAAGAAAUCCACCAUGGAGCAAUUCUUGUGAUACCUAUAUGCUUAUAAAAUUACUAAUUUUUGGGCAUGCAUUUAUCGCGCAUCAAUGUGAAGUAAUCUUCUUAAAACAACAUACUAUUAAUAUAUAAAUAGAUGUGUUCCAUUAUAAAAUUAAAAUUUUAAAAAGUUUCAAGUUCAUGAAUAUAAUGAACGUUAAUUAUCUUUUGCAAUUUAAUUAAACCCACUUCAGUGAUUCUUCGACCAGUUCGCUCCAAACUUGCUUUAGAUCUUCAUAACAUCAUAAUAAGAUUGAAGGGUUGCAACUCGUUGUCACUAAAAUUAAAAGCAACUUCCACUACUUUUUUCUUCCACUACUCUUCUUCGAAGAAAUUCCAUGAUUUACUUCGCUAUUUCUUAAUGUAGUCUACUUUGCAGAAGUUCCUGGUUUUAGUAAAAUGCACUCAGUUACAGAAUCAAGCUUAAAGUUGAUAUUUAAAAAAAUUCAUAAAGAAGUCCAUUGAAUAAUAACUCUGAUUAAAACCUUUCUAAUCCUUGGGUUACAAAGCAAAGGAAAAUGAAGCAUUAAGAAGAACGCAUCUUUAAGGUUCAAGGUCUGUCAUUACUUCUGUUAAAUGAAAUUCCAGACUUGGUAUAAAUUAAUUUCAUUUCAUAGUAAAUUGAGAAGCAAAAUUACAAUUUUGCUUUUUAAAAGAUAUUUAAGUUAUUUCAAUUCCCUAAAAUGACUUUUCCCCUGCAAAUUUAUUUGCAUUAGAACUUUUAACUAACUUAAGGGAAUAUUUAAUGAAAACUGACAAAAAUAUUUUAUAAUUGUGUUCCUAUAUUUUAUAGGGACAUCCAAUUUUUGAGUUGGAGAAAAUAUUGAACCUGAAUCUUUAAACUCUUAAGAUGCGAAUACAGGAAACGUGAAUUAGAGGUAAGAGACUUGAGUAAAGCAGUUAAGACAAAAGGAGACCAAUUUCUAUACUAAAUUGAUCUUAUAAAAACUCUUUUCCCAGAAAAUUCCUAUUUCUUGUCAUUGCUAGACUUUAUUUAGGGCAAAAGAUUUAUUGAUGGUUCAUUCCAUUCCGAAGUUAGUAAUGUUCAUGAAGUUGGCGAACUUUCCUCUAAAUAGCUUGUUUGGAUGGUUGUUACCUAUUGCAUUGUAGUGUAUUAUGUUGCUAGUUUAAAUAUACUGUUGUUUUAGUGGUUUCUUAAAUUUUAGAGUUAAUGGUUAAAAAAACACCUGAACUAUCACUUUUUUCGCGAGUUUCACACCCAAAUUAUGAGUUGUUCCCUUUUCCUAUAUCACCAUAAAUGUAUUAAAAUACACCACGGCGCUGAUUAAACUAGCUAUUAGUUGUUCCCGGUGUGCACUUUCUGUUAUCACCCUCUUUCAUUGCCAUUUUUGAAGCCAAUAGAAAAAAUCUUUCCCACCUAAACUAUCACUAUCUACGCAAGUAGAUGUUUUAUUUAUGAAACAAUGUUAUAUGCAUCAAAGAAUGCAUUCGGAGGCUAAUCCAGAUCAAUAUUUUAAAACAUACAGUAAAGACAAUGUAGAGCUUCCUAACUUUUGUGGAUGAAGAGUCAUACCAUAAAGUGAAAAGAGUAGAUUCUAUCUCAACAAGAACAUUGAGUUGUGGACCUGUGGAUUCUCUUCCCACUUUGUAGUUGCCUACUGUUAUUUUUCCUUCUACUCCACUUUCACAUUUCACAGCACCCCAUAAGUUUACAGCAUACCUGCUCAAGUUCAGUAUUCAAAGUACAAUAGAAAAUAGAGAGCAAGAAGGGAAAAAAAAAAUCAGUUCAAUGUUGAAAAAGGAGAACAGUGGGGGUUUUGAUGGCAGUAGCAACAACUGGUCAAGGGUGUGUGACAGUUGCCGUUCCACCGCAUGUACCGUUUACUGCAGGGAAGAUUCCACCUUCUUGUGUGCCGGCUGUGACGCCCGCAUGCAUGCAGCAAAUCUGUUGGCUUCUCGUCACGAGCGUGUGUGGGUUUGCGAGGCCUGCGGACGUGCCCCUGCAGCCUUUCUUUGCAAGGCAGAUGCUGCCUCACUCUGUGCCUCCUGCGACACUGACAUCCACUCUGCCAACCCCUUGGCGCGCCGUCACCACCGUGUCCCAAUUAUGCCCAUUUUAGGUAGCCACACAAAAAUUAUACU
Molecule: long non-coding RNA, 4237 nt
Filed under: Solanum tuberosum (potato)
Lineage: Eukaryota; Viridiplantae; Streptophyta; Magnoliopsida; Solanales; Solanaceae
Description: long non-coding RNA (STUB_LNC003247)
Source: RNAcentral